GCCGGGCAUGGUGGUGUGUGCCUGUAAUCCCAGCUGCUUGGGAGGCUGAGGCAGGAGAAUUGUUUGAACCUGGGAGGCUGAGGUUGCAGUGAGCUGAGUUCGUGCCACUGCACUCCAGCCUGGGUGACAGAGCGAGACUUUGUCUCCA
RNAcentral lists this signal recognition particle RNA (148 nucleotides) under Chlorocebus sabaeus (green monkey). Its description in RNAcentral is "Metazoan signal recognition particle RNA". It matches the Rfam family "Metazoan signal recognition particle RNA". From Rfam's summary of the family: The signal recognition particle (SRP) is a universally conserved ribonucleoprotein. The record is from Rfam by way of RNAcentral. Lineage: Eukaryota; Metazoa; Chordata; Mammalia; Primates; Cercopithecidae.